UAUUGGACAAUGGGCGAAAGCCUGAUCCAGCAAUGCCGCGUGAGUGAUGAAGGCCCUAGGGUUGUAAAGCUCUUUUACCCGGGAAGAUAAUGACUGUACCGGGAGAAUAAGCCCCGGCUAACUCCGUGCCAGCAGCCGCGGUAAUACGGAGGGGGCUGGCGUUGUUCGGAAUUACUGGGCGUAAAGCGCACGUAGGCGGCUUUGUAAGUCAGAGGUGAAAGCCUGGAGCUCAACUCCAGAACUGCCUUUGAGACUGCAUCGCUUAAUCCAGGAAGAGGUCUGUGAAUUCCGAGUGAGAGGUAAAUUCGAAAAAUUCGAAGACACCAGUGGCAAGGCGGCUGCUGGCUGGUUAGCGCUGCGUCAAAUAGA
Molecule: ribosomal RNA, 369 nt
Filed under: uncultured bacterium
Lineage: Bacteria
Description: bacterial SSU rRNA
Rfam family: Bacterial small subunit ribosomal RNA
Source: RNAcentral